GACGAACGCUGGCGGCGUGCUUAACACAUGCAAGUCGUACGGUAAGGCCCUUUCGGGGGUACACGAGUGGCGAACGGGUGAGUAACACGUGAGUAACCUGCCCACAACUUUUGGAUAACGCUAGGAAACUGGUGCUAAUACUGGAUAUGUGCUCCUGCUGCAUGGUGGGGGUUGGAAAGCUCCGGCGGUUGUGGAUGGACUCGCGGCCUAUCAGCUUGUUGGUGGGGUAGUGGCCUACCAAGGCGGCGACGGGUAGCCGGCCUGAGAGGGUGACCGGCGACAUUGGGACUGAGGUACGGCCCAGACUGCGACGGGAGGCAGCAGUGGGGAAUAUUGCACAAUGGGCGCAAGCCUGAUGCAGCAACGCCGCGUGCGGGAUGACGGCCUUCGGGUUGUAAACCGGUUUCAGCAGGGACGAAGCUUUUUGUGACGGUACCUGCAGAAGAAGCACCGGCUAACUACGUG
Molecule: ribosomal RNA, 465 nt
Filed under: uncultured bacterium
Lineage: Bacteria
Description: partial 16S ribosomal RNA
Rfam family: Bacterial small subunit ribosomal RNA
Source: RNAcentral